This 474-nucleotide ribosomal RNA is filed under the name uncultured organism. Its description in RNAcentral is "partial 16S ribosomal RNA". It matches the Rfam family "Bacterial small subunit ribosomal RNA", at positions 330 to 796 of the family's 1533-position model. The record is from RNAcentral.
CGUACACUCCUGCGGGAGGCAGCAGUGGGGAAUAUUGCACAAUGGGCGCAAGCCUGAUGCAGCCAUGCCGCGUGUAUGAAGAAGGCCUUCGGGUUGUAAAGUACUUUCAGCGGGGAGGAAGGCGAUAAGGUUAAUAACCUUGUCGAUUGACGUUACCCGCAGAAGAAGCACCGGCUAACUCCGUGCCAGCAGCCGCGGUAAUACGGAGGGUGCAAGCGUUAAUCGGAAUUACUGGGCGUAAAGCGCACGCAGGCGGUCUGUCAAGUCGGAUGUGAAAUCCCCGGGCUCAACCUGGGAACUGCAUUCGAAACUGGCAGGCUAGAGUCUUGUAGAGGGGGGUAGAAUUCCAGGUGUAGCGGUGAAAUGCGUAGAGAUCUGGAGGAAUACCGGUGGCGAAGGCGGCCCCCUGGACAAAGACUGACGCUCAGGUGCGAAAGCGUGGGGAGCAAACAGGAUUAGAUACCCGAGUAGUCC